This 162-nucleotide small nuclear RNA is filed under the name Homo sapiens (human). RNAcentral's name for it is "U1 spliceosomal RNA". It matches the Rfam family "U1 spliceosomal RNA". Rfam says of the family: U1 is a small nuclear RNA (snRNA) component of the spliceosome (involved in pre-mRNA splicing). Its 5' end forms complementary base pairs with the 5' splice junction, thus defining the 5' donor site of an intron. The record is from Rfam by way of RNAcentral. Lineage: Eukaryota; Metazoa; Chordata; Mammalia; Primates; Hominidae.
ACUUACCUGGCAGGGGAGAUACCAUGAUCACGAAGGUGGUUUUCCCAGGGCGAGGCUUAUCCAUUGCACUCCGGAUGUGCUGACCCCUGCGAUUUCCCCAAAUGUGGGAAACUCGACUGCAUAAUUUGUGGUAGUGGGGGACUGCGUUCGCGCUUUCCCCUG